CAGGGAGACAACAAAAUGUUUAAUAUUAUAAUUUUGUCACCUUAGGUCGAUCGGUAUCUCACGUUCUUAAUUUGUUAAGAAUUUCAUUUCCUAAGUUUUUCUAGGUCACACCCAUAUUUUUCCUGGGCCAUUAGCUCAGGUGGUUAGAGCGCACCCCUGAUAAGGGUGAGGUCCCUGGUUCAAGUCCAGGAUGGCCCAUAUCUCUAUGUUGGGGGUAUAGCUCAGUUGGUAGAGCGCCUGCUUUGCAAGCAGGAUGUCAGCGGUUCGAGUCCGCUUACCUCCACUGAUUACCACCUCUUCCAUAACCGGUAGAAAGGAAAUGUUUUGAGUUGUGAUCAUUAUUCUGAACGAAUCUAGCUUCCUAAUGAAAUCAUUAAGAUGCUGGACUCAUUGAAUUAAUUUCAUUGUUUUCAGAGAACCUUGACAACUGCAUAGAUUAUUUUUAAAGACAAUAAGCAUCUUUAAUGAUGCAGAUUUAUUAUUUGUGCGAAUGCAUUAAUAACAAUUCUAUUAAGCUGAUGCUUCAAUUUUGAAGUUAUU
Molecule: transfer RNA, 540 nt
Filed under: uncultured cyanobacterium
Lineage: Bacteria; Bacillati; Cyanobacteriota
Description: partial 16S-23S ribosomal RNA intergenic spacer
Rfam family: tRNA (bases 211-283)
Source: RNAcentral